Molecule: microRNA precursor, 169 nt
Filed under: Oryza sativa Indica Group (long-grained rice)
Lineage: Eukaryota; Viridiplantae; Streptophyta; Magnoliopsida; Poales; Poaceae
Description: osa-MIR809b
Source: RNAcentral
UUGUUCUAAAUACUUCCUUUUUCACAAUAUAAGUCAUUCUAGCAUUUUCCACAUUCAUAUUGAUGUUAAUGAAUCUAGACAUUUAUAUUUAUUUAGAUUCAUUAACAUCAAUAUAAAUGUUGGAAAUGUUAGAAUGACUUACAUUGUGAAACGGAGGGAGUAGUUGCAA